UCAGUGGCUUCCCUGUUGUGUGUGCA
RNAcentral lists this non-coding RNA (26 nucleotides) under Homo sapiens (human). Lineage: Eukaryota; Metazoa; Chordata; Mammalia; Primates; Hominidae. The record is from RNAcentral.